Molecule: ribosomal RNA, 581 nt
Filed under: uncultured fungus
Lineage: Eukaryota; Fungi
Description: SSU rRNA
Rfam family: Eukaryotic small subunit ribosomal RNA
Source: RNAcentral
AAACUGCGAAUGGCUCAUUAAAUCAGUUAUCGUUUAUUUGAUAGUACCUUACUACUUGGAUAACCGUGGUAAUUCUAGAGCUAAUACAUGCUAAAAACCCCGACUUCGGAAGGGGUGUAUUUAUUAGAUAAAAAACCAAUGCUCUUCGGGGCUCCUUGGUGAUUCAUAAUAACUUAACGAAUCGCAUGGCCUUGUGCCGGCGAUGGUUCAUUCAAAUUUCUGCCCUAUCAACUUUCGAUGGUAGGAUAGUGGCCUACCAUGGUUUCAACGGGUAACGGGGAAUUAGGGUUCUAUUCCGGAGAGGGAGCCUGAGAAACGGCUACCACAUCCAAGGAAGGCAGCAGGCGCGCAAAUUACCCAAUCCCGACACGGGGAGGUAGUGACAAUAAAUACUGAUACAGGGCUCUUUUGAGUCUUGUAAUUGGAAUGAGUACAAUUUAAAUCCCUUAACGAGGAACAAUUGGAGGGCAAGUCUGGUGCCAGCAGCCGCGGUAAUUCCAGCUCCAAUAGCGUAUAUUAAAGUUGUUGCAGUUAAAAAGCUCGUAGUUGAACCUUGGGCCUGGCUGGCCGGUCCGCCUCAC